UGCACCACAGGUCCGCAGGUGCUGGGGGGCGGGGGGGGGCGCGGAGGCAUUUCCGGUCUGGCCCCAGGGAGAAAGAAAGAUGGCGGCUCCCUCGGCGACAGUCCGGAGGGCCCUGGGCUGGACUAGGGCAAACACUUCUCAUUCAUUAAAUCGCCGUAUGGAUUCAAUGGAAAAGAACUAAUUCACUGAGGGCCGAGGCCCACCCCCACCCCCUCUUUUAAUUCCUGUUCCUGUUUCCUGGCUCAUCCCUUUGACAUCGGGACAAUUACAGCUAUUCAUAUCCAGCCCCGAGGCCACCUGCCAGCCGGCCAUUCUCAUGCACAUGGGGCUAAACAUCAGGCACAAUGUAGGCCAAUCUGAGGCCUUUUAACAGGACCUCACUGAGAGCCAGACCCCCUCGGCCCCCACCCCGCCGAGUGGAGCGUAUUCAGGGGCUGCCUGGGGCCCUCUCCCUGGGAAUUCCUGGGAUCCCGGGGCCAUCCCUUUGGAGAGUUUGGAGCUGGGAGGGACAUCUAGCCCAGGGCCGCGGUUCCAGCGGCCGCUGUUUUCUAAGAGAAGGCGGAUUUCUGGAUUACCGGGUUUUCUGGUCCCCAAGGCUUCCGGGUAGGCGUGAACGAUCCGUCCCCUCUUCAGGAUGCCCCCACUUUCAUCCCGUACCCAAAGUGGCACCCGAUAAGGCGGAGGCAGCAUCUAGUCUGAGAGAAAGAAAGAAAGAAAGAAAGAAAGAAAGAAAGAAAGAAAGAAAGAAAGAAAGAAAGAAAAAGGAAGGAAGGAAGGAAGAAAGAAAGAAAGAAAGAAAGAAAGAAAGAAAGAAAGAAAGAAAGAAAGAAAGAAAGAAAGAAAGAAAGAAAGAAAGAAAGAAAGAAAGAAAGAAAGAAAGAAAGAAAGGAAGGAAGGAAGGAAGGAAGGAAGGAAGGAAGGAAGGAAGAAAAAGGAAGGAAGGAAGAAAAAGGAAGGAAGGAAGAAAAAGGAAGGAAGGGAGAAAGAAAAAAGAAAGAAGGAAAGAAAGAGAAAGAAAGAGAGAGAGAAAGAAGGAAAGAAAAAAUAGAGAAAGAAAGAGAGAGAAAAAGAAAGAAAGAAGGCAAGAAAGAAAGGAGUUUGUAACCUGGGGCCAUGAACUUGGGUUUCUAAAUAAAUUUAUAACAAUAUUUUAAUAUGAGUUUCCUUUGUCAUCCUAUAUACUUUAUUUUAUGUGUUUAAAAU
Molecule: long non-coding RNA, 1203 nt
Filed under: Monodelphis domestica (gray short-tailed opossum)
Lineage: Eukaryota; Metazoa; Chordata; Mammalia; Didelphimorphia; Didelphidae
Description: lncRNA (ENSMODG00000041091.1)
Source: RNAcentral